GAUGAACGCUGGCGGCGUGCCUAAUACAUGCAAGUCGAGCGAACAGACGAGGAGCUUGCUCCUCUGACGUUAGCGGCGGACGGGUGAGUAACACGUGGAUAACCUACCUAUAAGACUGGGAUAACUUCGGGAAACCGGAGCUAAUACCGGAUAAUAUAUUGAACCGCAUGGUUCAAUAGUGAAAGACGGUCUUGCUGUCACUUAUAGAUGGAUCCGCGCCGCAUUAGCUAGUUGGUAAGGUAACGGCUUACCAAGGCGACGAUGCGUAGCCGACCUGAGAGGGUGAUCGGCCACACUGGAACUGAGACACGGUCCAGACUCCUACGGGAGGCAGCAGUAGGGAAUCUUCCGCAAUGGGCGAAAGCCUGACGGAGCAACGCCGCGUGAGUGAUGAAGGUCUUCGGAUCGUAAAACUCUGUUAUUAGGGAAGAACAAAUGUGUAAGUAACUAUGCACGUCUUGACGGUACCUAAUCAGAAAGCCACGGCUAACUACGUG
RNAcentral lists this ribosomal RNA (497 nucleotides) under uncultured bacterium. Its description in RNAcentral is "partial 16S ribosomal RNA". It matches the Rfam family "Bacterial small subunit ribosomal RNA", at positions 28 to 507 of the family's 1533-position model. The record is from RNAcentral.